Molecule: ribosomal RNA, 273 nt
Filed under: uncultured bacterium
Lineage: Bacteria
Description: partial 16S ribosomal RNA
Rfam family: Bacterial small subunit ribosomal RNA
Source: RNAcentral
AUACGGAGGGUGCAAGCGUUAAUCGGAAUUACUGGGCGUAAAGCGUACGUAGGCGGUUCGUUAAGUUAGAUGAGAAAGCCCCGGGCUUAACCUGGGAACUGCAUUAAAACUGGCGGACUAGAGUUGAGUAGAGGGGAGUGGAAUUUCAGGUGUAGCGGUGAAAUGCGUAGAGAUCUGAAGGAACACCAGUGGCGAAGGCGACUCCCUGGACUCGAACUGACGCUGAGGUACGAAGGCGUGGGUAGCAAACGGGAUUAGAAACCCUAGUAGUCC